AGUCGAGGGGCAGCAUGGGCUUAGCUUGCUAAGCCCGAUGGCGACCGGCGCACGGGUGAGUAACACGUAUCCAACCUUCCGGUAACUCCGGUAUAGCCUUUCGAAAGAAAGAUUAAUCCCGGAUAGUAUGGUGAUUCCGCAUGGUUUCUCCAUUAAAGGAUUCCGGUUACCGAUGGGGAUGCGUUCCAUUAGGCAGUUGGCGGGGUAACGGCCCACCAAACCUACGAUGGAUAGGGGUUCUGAGAGGAAGGUCCCCCACAUUGGAACUGAGACACGGUCCAAACUCCUACGGGAGGCAGCAGUGAGGAAUAUUGGUCAAUGGGCGGAAGCCUGAACCAGCCAAGUAGCGUGAAGGAUGACUGCCCUAUGGGUUGUAAACUUCUUUUAUAAGGGAAUAAUUGUGGGUACGCGUACCCAUUUGCAUGUACCUUAUGAAUAAGGAUCGGCUAACUCCGUGCCAGCAGCCGCGGUAAUACGGAGGAUCCGAGCGUUAUCCGGAUUUAUUGGGUUUAAAGGGAGCGUAGGCGGGCGCUUAAGUCAGCUGUGAAAGUUUGGGGCUCAACCUUAAAAUUGCAGUUGAUACUGGGUGCCUUGAGUGCAGUAUAGGCAGGCGGAAUUCGUGGUGUAGCGGUGAAAUGCUUAGAUAUCACGAAGAACUCCUAUUGCGAAGGCAGCUUGCUGGAGUGUAACUGACGCUGAUGCUCGAAAGUGUGGGUAUCAAACAGGAUUAGAUACCCUGGUAGUCCACACAGUAAACGAUGAAUACUCGCUGUUUGCGAUAUAGGGCAAGCGGCCAAGCGAAAGCGUUAAGUAUUCCACCUGGGGAGUACGCCGGCAACGGUGAAACUCAAAGGAAUUGACGGGGGCCCGCACAAGCGGAGGAACAUGUGGUUUAAUUCGAUGAUACGCGAGGAACCUUACCCGGGCUUGAAUUGCAACCGAAUUAUCCGGAAACGGGUAAGCCGCAAGGCGGUUGUGAAGGUGCUGCAUGGUUGUCGUCAGCUCGUGCCGUGAGGUGUCGGCUUAAGUGCCAUAACGAGCGCAACCCUUAUCCACAGUUACCAUCAGGUGAUGCUGGGGACUCUGUGAGAGACUGCCGUCGUAAGAUGCGAGGAAGGGGGGGAUGACGUCAAAUCAGCACGGCCCUUACGUCCGGGGCUACACACGUGUUACAAUGGGGGGUACAGCAGGCAGCUCGGCGGCGACGCCCGGCCAAUCCCUAAAUCCCCUCUCAGUUCGGACUGGAGUCUGCAACCCGACUCCACGAAGCUGGAUUCGCUAGUAAUCGCGCAUCAGCCACGGCGCGGUGAAUACGUUCCCGGGCCUUGUACACACCGCCCGUCAAGCCAUGAAAGCCGGGGGUACCUGAAGUGCGUAACCGU
RNAcentral lists this ribosomal RNA (1382 nucleotides) under Prevotella heparinolytica. Its description in RNAcentral is "Bacteroides heparinolyticus 16S ribosomal RNA". It matches the Rfam family "Bacterial small subunit ribosomal RNA", at positions 60 to 1437 of the family's 1533-position model. Lineage: Bacteria; Pseudomonadati; Bacteroidota; Bacteroidia; Bacteroidales; Prevotellaceae. The record is from RNAcentral.